RNAcentral lists this ribosomal RNA (403 nucleotides) under uncultured Bacillus sp. RNAcentral's name for it is "bacterial SSU rRNA". It matches the Rfam family "Bacterial small subunit ribosomal RNA", at positions 119 to 508 of the family's 1533-position model. The record is from RNAcentral. Lineage: Bacteria; Bacillati; Bacillota; Bacilli; Caryophanales; Bacillaceae.
GGGUAACCUGCCUGUAAGACCGGGAUAACUCCGGGAAACCGGUGCUAAUACCGGAUAGAUUAUCUUUCCGCCUGGAGAGAUAAGGAAAGAUGGCUAUUGCCAUCACUUACAGAUGGGCCCGCGGCGCAUUAGCUAGUUGGCGAGGUAACGGCUCACCAAGGCAACGAUGCGUAGCCGACCUGAGAGGGUGAUCGGCCACACUGGGACUGAGACACGGCCCAGACUCCUACGGGAGGCAGCAGUAGGGAAUCUUCCGCAAUGGACGAAAGUCUGACGGAGCAACGCCGCGUGAGCGAAGAAGGUCUUCGGAUCGUAAAGCUCUGUUGUUAGGGAAGAACAAGUAUCGGAGGAAAUGCCGGUACCUUGACGGUACCUGACGAGAAAGCCACGGCUAACUACGUGC